This 253-nucleotide ribosomal RNA is filed under the name uncultured bacterium. RNAcentral's name for it is "partial 16S ribosomal RNA". It matches the Rfam family "Bacterial small subunit ribosomal RNA", at positions 524 to 776 of the family's 1533-position model. The record is from RNAcentral.
UACGUAGGGGGCAAGCGUUGUCCGGAAUCAUUGGGCGUAAAGCGCGUGUAGGCGGUUACGUAAGUCUGCUGUGAAAGUCGGAGGCUCAACCUUCGAAAGCCGGUGGAUACUGCGUGACUUGAGUACGGAAGAGGAGAGUGGAAUUCCUGGCGUAGCGGUGAAAUGCGCAGAUAUCAGGAGGAACACCAACGGCGAAGGCAGCUCUCUGGGACGUUACUGACGCUGAGACGCGAAAGCGUGGGGAGCAAACAGG